This 71-nucleotide small RNA is filed under the name Bombyx mori (domestic silkworm). RNAcentral's name for it is "Bm_149". Lineage: Eukaryota; Metazoa; Arthropoda; Insecta; Lepidoptera; Bombycidae. The record is from RNAcentral.
AAUCGUGAACACAAAUGUGUUAGGUACAUAUUACUUAGAUAUUUUUGGCGCUUCGCAUGGCGAGGCUCAUU